This 404-nucleotide ribosomal RNA is filed under the name uncultured bacterium. Its description in RNAcentral is "bacterial SSU rRNA". It matches the Rfam family "Bacterial small subunit ribosomal RNA", at positions 355 to 775 of the family's 1533-position model. The record is from RNAcentral.
UAGGGAAUAUUGGACAAUGGGCGAAAGCCUGAUCCAGCAACGCCGCGUGCGCGAUGACGGCCUUCGGGUUGUAAAGCGCUUUUAGGAGAGAUGAGAAAGGACAGUAUCUCCAGAAUAAGCCUCGGCGAACUACGUGCCAGCAGCCGCGGUAAAACGUAGGAGGCAAGCGUUAUCCGGAUUUAUUGGGCGUAAAGCGUGUGCAGGCGGUUUGGCAAGUUGGAUGUGAAAGCUCCCGGCUUAACUGGGAGAGGUCGUUCAAAACUGCCAGACUAGAGAAUGGAAGAGGGAGGUGGAAUUCCGGGUGUAGUGGUGAAAUGCGUAGAUAUCCGGAGGAACACCAGUGGCGAAAGCGGCCUCCUAGGCCAUUUCUGACGCUAAGACACGAAAGCUAGGGUAGCAAACGG